Vigna radiata var. radiata (mung bean) is the source of this 1799-nucleotide long non-coding RNA. RefSeq lists it as uncharacterized. Lineage: Eukaryota; Viridiplantae; Streptophyta; Magnoliopsida; Fabales; Fabaceae. The transcript has 2 exons. The record is from RefSeq and is a predicted model, not a curated record.
UUGCUUGAGCAUUUUGGGUGCAUGGUUAAAAAGGUGGAUUUUUUGAAAACAUGUGUGUUUCUCUAUAAAUAUGUGAUUGUGAUAUUGGUUGCACCAUAGUUUGGGAGAUCCUCUUUUGAAUAAUUUUUUCCAUUAUAGUCAAGAAGGAUGCUCUUUUGAGCGAUUUUUUUCACCAUAAAUGAGGCGGUUGUUCUUUAAACGAUUUGUUCUAUCCUUAUCGGGGAGGUUGAUGGCAACCUCUUUAGAGAUUUUCCAUCCAAAAGUAUCAACUUAACACUAAAACAAAGAAAGGGAAGUUGAAUAAGGACUUGAUCUUUUCUUUCUAAGUCUUAGCAUGUUCUCUUUACCUAAAAACAUUUACACUAUUUUUGUAGGUCACCAAAUAAGGAUGGGAAACCAUGCCAAGCAAAGGAAAGCAAAGGAAGCCGAGAAGGUUGCAAUAGCCGAAUAUAAAAGUUGCAUGAAGAAUUGGAUUUUUCAAGCACCACGCGCCUAGCCAAAACCCUGGAUGGCUCAGCGUUUUUGCUCCAGUAGAUUAAACAUUUAACACGUGAUUAAUGUGUUUCGCCUAGAAAUUGAAACCCACGUUGGCCAAAGCUUCUUCCGCACAUGCCUUUGUAAUCUUAGUAGCUUCCCUUGCAAAGCUUCUCUUCUCCUAUAAAAGAGAGCUUCAUCAUUUGUAAAAAUCAACUUGAAUUGAGAUAGUGUUAUGCUGUUGAAUUGCAUCCAGUUGCUAUUUCUUCGAGUUCAAAACUUAGAGCUACUUUAACUUGUUCUUCCUCUAGCUCCCUUCCCCGCUGGAAGGCCAUCUGAGUUAGAAACUCACCACAUAUUCAUCCAAACCACUACCGAGCAUUUCUACAAACACCUUACAGGCACCGAACAUCUUCAAACCAUUCUUCAUUUCGCUGCCAAUUUUGGACUAAGGAGCCACUCAAGUUUUGGAGAUUGAGGUUGCUUCCAUAAUUUGGAAACUAGAGCCAGUCGUCCACGCCUUGCGUCAAGAGCUAAGUUGCUCUUUCCUUUAAUUUUCUUACUUUCGUGUUGUGCAGUUCGUAUUUUCUGUUUGCACUUUUUUUUAAUUCGAAUUUUUUUGUUCCUAUGGAUGUUUGAGUGCAUUCACAUGUUACUUAGUAUUUUUUGAUCAUUUUAAUUGGUGCAUUUCUUUAUUGGAGUUUGAAUCCAGCUUUACAAAUCAUUUUCCAGUUUUGUUCGGUCAUGUGCAAAUUGUUGAUGUGUUUUUACUGUUGCAUUGGUUUAAAUCUGUUCCAGCUUUAUUUCUUCGUUGUUGUUUAAGUCAAGUGCAUUUUCUAGGUAUAUGUUGAUCGUAUAAGUAAUGGCAUCAUGUCCAUCUUUGAUCAUUGGAGCUAAAAGUAAUGUCCUAAAAGUCCAGAUUGCUUGUUCCAAAGGGGUAGCAUAUUAGGGAGUGGAAGACUUGUUAAAUUGGCUACAAGUUUGGACUCCAAGUGCACUUCCUUCUUGCUGUUCCAGCACCAUUUCAGCAGCUACAACAUCACUUUUGGGAACUACACCAAUCACAAACAACACCUUUCACUUGCUUUGUCCUUUUGUAAACACUUUUAAUUGUACUUUUGUGCUGUAUCACGGAACAUUUGUGUUUCAUUCUUCUUUCAUUUUUAAAGCUUAAGUGGCUUUGGAAAAUGCUUUUCUAGCAAUUCCAAGACCACCACUAAACAUUGUAAUAGCCUAUACUCCACAUCUUAGUGUGAAAGUUUGUCAAGUGGCUCCAAGUGUCACUUGCACUUUCACUUAGGGUUAUGUCUCAUCCUUCCUUUCCA